AGCUCCAUGCGUUCAGGGCGCCUGGCGCAGCUCAGUUAAAGCGGAACUAAGCUGGGGUGCAAUGGCGGUGGGGACACGGAUGGGACUCAUUUUGAAGCCCCCGAGGAGGAGACUGUGCCUGGUGAAAGGGUAGACGUAUCCUCUUCUCCUCGACAAGAGUGGGUGAUAGGUGAGGCCAGAGGGAACAGCACCCACAGGCCCAGAGAUUCCAGGCUCAUCUCGCCUAGACGAGGUUUGAAAUCUCUGGUUGGAUCAACGCGAUUUCGCUCAGAGCACGGACAGCUGGUCUUGAGAAUUAAAGAAAACUGACUCGCUGACUGAGGAAGGAAGUGACAUCAAUGAGCUGCUGGAGUCAGCCGCAGGGGACUGGCUUGUGAGGAGUAGCCUCGCACUGCAGUGCAUUUGGGGGGAGCUGCCUUGAGAUGCAAAUCGCUGUAUCCAUCAAACCCGCGAUGCCUACUCCAACCAACUUAGUGCCAUGGAGGCAA
This is a long non-coding RNA of Myotis brandtii (Brandt's bat), 488 nucleotides long. RefSeq lists it as uncharacterized. Lineage: Eukaryota; Metazoa; Chordata; Mammalia; Chiroptera; Vespertilionidae. The transcript is spliced from 3 exons. The record is from RefSeq and is a predicted model, not a curated record.